This 622-nucleotide long non-coding RNA is filed under the name Homo sapiens (human). Its description in RNAcentral is "non-protein coding lnc-ZNF117-3:4". Lineage: Eukaryota; Metazoa; Chordata; Mammalia; Primates; Hominidae. The record is from RNAcentral.
GCACUCGGGCGACAGGUUGUCAGGGCUGUCAGCCUGUCUAAGCAGAGGAAAACGGAGCAGGCAGAGCCGGCCUGAUCUCGGAAUAAAGGCUGCAUGCGACAAACACUGAGGGACCCUAAAAGUCUCGACCAUAGGGCCUCUUCUGGCCAUCUCCGUGGUCGUGUCCCGCUGGAGGAGGAGGCGAUUAGAGACUGUGAGGUGGGUACUGGAAACUCCUCUUCUGAUUCCGUUGCCAAAAGAGGCUGUGUGCAGGAGUUGGGUCCCAUGGGGCUGGGAAUACAGUCUUGUGAGUUGUUGAGGGGUCUCUGGGAGAUAGAAUCCUAGUUAAAACUACAGAGGAUGGUGUCAGUGGAAGAUUGCAGGACCCUUGAGCUCACUGCCUCCCUUCAUCGUGGGCCUCCUAGGGGCUCCUGUUUCUCAGCACGGCUCUCUGGGAAAGGCAGAACCAUGUCAAAGGCAAGUCCAAGGUGGAGCAGAGGUCUCACACCUGAAACUGGAAAACCAUGGGGGCAGAUGAGGUUUAGAGGCCGUCUGGGGAUUACUGCAAGCCUGAAAAGGGUGUCCUGGAGUGCUGUUGAGGGGCGCUGUGGAUCCCCCAUGAAAGCAAAGAAAAAUCAAGUCU